UACGGAGGGUGCAAGCGUUAUCCGGAUUCACUGGGUUUAAAGGGAGCGCAGGCGGAUUUGUAAGUCAGUGGUGAAAGGCUUAAGCUUAACUUGGGAACUGCCAUUGAUACUAUAAGUCUUGGAUGUUGUUGAGGUUUGCGGAAUGGGUCAUGUAGCGGUGAAAUGCAUAGAUAUGACCCGGAACACCUAUUGCGAAGGCAGCAGGCUAAACAAAUAUUGACGCUGAGGCUCGAAAGCGUGGGGAUCAAACAGG
RNAcentral lists this ribosomal RNA (253 nucleotides) under uncultured bacterium. RNAcentral's name for it is "partial 16S ribosomal RNA". It matches the Rfam family "Bacterial small subunit ribosomal RNA", at positions 524 to 776 of the family's 1533-position model. The record is from RNAcentral.